This 461-nucleotide ribosomal RNA is filed under the name uncultured bacterium. Its description in RNAcentral is "bacterial SSU rRNA". It matches the Rfam family "Bacterial small subunit ribosomal RNA", at positions 8 to 496 of the family's 1533-position model. The record is from RNAcentral.
AGAGUUUGAUCCUGGCUCAGGAUGAACGCUGGCGGCGUGCCUAACACAUGCAAGUCGAGCGAUUUACUUCGGUAAAGAGCGGCGGACGGGUGAGUAACGCGUGGGUAACCUACCCUGUACACACGGAUAACAUACCGAAAGGUAUGCUAAUACGAGAUAAUAUGCUUUUAUCGCAUGGUAGAAGUAUCAAAGCUUUUGCGGUACAGGAUGGACCCGCGUCUGAUUAGCUAGUUGGUAAGGUAACGGCUUACCAAGGCGACGAUCAGUAGCCGACCUGAGAGGGUGAUCGGCCACAUUGGAACUGAGACACGGUCCAAACUCCUACGGGAGGCAGCAGUGGGGAAUAUUGCACAAUGGGCGAAAGCCUGAUGCAGCAACGCCGCGUGAGCGAUGAAGGCCUUCGGGUCGUAAAGCUCUGUCCUCAAGGAAGAUAAUGACGGUACUUGGGGAGGAAGCCCCGG